UACGUAGGGGGCUAGCGUUGUCCGGAAUCAUUGGGCGUAAAGCGCGUGUAGGCGGCCCGGUAAGUCCGCUGUGAAAGUCCAGGGCUCAACCCUGGGAUGCCGGUGGAUACUGUCGGGCUCGAGUCCGGAAGAGGCGAGUGGAAUUCCUGGUGUAGCGGUGAAAUGCGUAGAGAUUGGAAAGAACACCGAUGGCGAAGGCACUUUACUGGGCUAUUACUAACACUCAGAGACGAAAGCUAGGGUAGCAAAUGGG
RNAcentral lists this ribosomal RNA (253 nucleotides) under uncultured bacterium. RNAcentral's name for it is "partial 16S ribosomal RNA". It matches the Rfam family "Bacterial small subunit ribosomal RNA", at positions 524 to 776 of the family's 1533-position model. The record is from RNAcentral.